UUUACUCUAAUUCAAGAAGUUAUAUUCAUGUGUAAAAGAAACAAUUGUAUAUACAAACACAUACAUCAGAGAUCUAUGCACAUACCUAUACGUAUACCUAUAAAUAUUUAUUGAACAUAUAUACACAAACACACCCCAUAUACACGUGUAUUGACACCUUUGGGCACACACCUAUCACCUUACAUACACACAUAUAUAUGCACACAUGCCCUUGCAGCUUUACGCCUACGAACUUACAAAUCAAAAUACACUCAUAUCUAUAUACUAUACAUAUGUACACAACCCCCGGGGCAUAAUCCAGUGGUGCAAAGGACAGGAGUGGGGUUAUUUCAUACCUUGCUGGCAGCCGCAGUGUGGAGGUUCGAUUCCUGAGACAUGGAAUUGGACUCCUUGUAGGCGCAGUGUACAUGCAGCUAUUAUUUCCUGACUUGUUGGAGCACAUCUCGCGAUUUACCUCCAUCACAAAACUUUAGGAGUGGGACGGUGGGGGCCUUCAAAGUUGGGGUUCAACCUUUAUACAAAUGUACACACCCACCCACAUAGAUAUAUACACACACAUGUUUAUAUAAGCAAAAGCCGGAUCAGGGUAUGAAGUUAUCAGACAGAAGAUGUCAGUCGGAUCACCAUUAUAAGAAGAGGUUGGAAAGUAAAAGUACAGGUUCAAAGAAGUACGAAGAAAUAAUACACAAAAAAGGGUAUCAUAUCUAUAAGAUUAAUUGGCUAAGCUUUACCAGUCCAAGCCCUCAAACAGCCCUUCCCCUUACUACAUUACUUAAUCCCUGUUUCUUCAAGAACAAGGUUAGGACAACCUUGGCUUCUUCCUUUUCUGCAGCCAACAAAGUUGAAAAAACCACACUUAAGCUGAAUUCUCCGUUGGUUUUCAUUUUUCAUCUCUUAAUUGGAAAAAUGUAUGAUUGAAAAUAAUUUAAUGCACUGGAAAGAAUCAUCUCUUCCAAUUACCCCAAAAGAAAAGGGGAAAAAAGGAAUAUCUUCCUGUAUCAAUACAUCAUAUUAGAUUGCCUAAAUUAUUCGUUAAUCCAUUUUCAAUUCCAUACAAAAACACACAAAUUUAAAAGACUCACAGCAUAACAUAAUCAGCCAUGCCAAUAUGCCUGCUGCAACUCUGAAAAUGAAACACUUUACCCAAACUCCCACCACAUAACAGCAAUUAAGCAGCAAUAACUGUGACGACUCAAGUACAAGAGCUUCAACGAAUCCUGGUGAUGUUAGAAAGUCGAAUGUUCUAUGUGCCUCAUUGUCAUUGCAGAUACAAGACCUCGAGAUGUUCCAAUUGAAACCGUGCAGACAAAAUAAGGAAUACUCAAAGUACAUUAGUAUUUUACACGUUAGGAGGAGCAUUUUAUAAACCAGAGAAUGUUAUUUCGGUUGUAGUAUGUUCUUCGAAAGAACCAGUCAACCAAAUGAAAAUCAACAGAAAAAGCAUGAAAUUAAGAGAGGACUUACCGACGACCCUUGACCGUGAAAAUCGGCAACCGACAUUGGGCAAUAUCGGUGAUUUGGUGAGAAAAUGAGAGAGGCUGCGCAGUGGGACUACGGGCAUGAGAGAGACAUGGAAGAUAGGUUAGGGAUGUUGAGUCU
This 1599-nucleotide long non-coding RNA is filed under the name Olea europaea subsp. europaea. The record is from RNAcentral. Lineage: Eukaryota; Viridiplantae; Streptophyta; Magnoliopsida; Lamiales; Oleaceae.